Molecule: long non-coding RNA, 12300 nt
Filed under: Homo sapiens (human)
Lineage: Eukaryota; Metazoa; Chordata; Mammalia; Primates; Hominidae
Description: HSALNT0219938
Source: RNAcentral
CCCAACCUGACUGCUGUGUUCUGCCCUGAGUCUGCAGAGGCUGACCCUGGCCAGGAAAGUGGUUGGAAAAGCAUUUUUGCAGAGAGGCAGCCUGAAGGUGGUGGCUCUAUGUAAGUGUGCACCCUUGGUUGGAAAGGCUGAAGGUCAGGAAUGGUAUUAGGAGAAAGUUCCCCCUUUCUCCUUUGUCCCUCCUUCCUGCCCCUGGACACAGGCUUGAGGAUCUGCAUCUGGCUGGCUCACCCUUCCUGCACAACUUUUCUAUUCAAGUUUUUCAGGGCAGGGCUUUAAGAAACACUUCAGGUUAAUUAUAGCCAGGGGUCAUUUUCUAUACAAGCGGGACAAACUUGAUGUGACUACAGGGCUGUCUCCAGGGCUGAUUCAUUCGACCUAGAAAACUGCCCCUAGGGAAACAGCCUCAGAAUCUUGCCUGCAGCUCUGGAAGUGGUAAUGGGCCCACCUGUCUCCCUGCCCAUCAUCUCACAUCUGGGGGAAUGUCUUGGCUAGCAGCAUGGCCCUGAGUGAGGGGUUUAGGUAAACAAGGUGUGACUGGGAUUGGAAGAGUCACAAACCUGUUUGUUAGAGCAAUGCUGAAGAGUUUCAGGAAAAGAAUUUCAUCAAGGCUGGCACAUCUGUCCUCAGACACUUGAAGGAUUCCCUGGAGGAAGGAGGACUGAACUUGCCCUACAAGAUCCUGCGGGGCAAAGAACUGUAAGCAGAGACAAAAUGAAAGCCCUCUAGGCCCACAAUUGAUUCUAACGGCUGUGAGGGAAUGAGCUUCAACUACUGUUGAUGGGAGGGACUGUGUGCCAGGCACUGUGCUAGGGACUCUCAUGCAUGAUCUCAUUCAUCUUCUGCAUAACCCAAUGAGGUAUGAUCUACUAUCAAGUGUCUACAUUUGUAUUGGAUUGGUAUGUGUGCCCAACAAAGAAAGUGUCAUUUUUCCUUGGGAAUGAAAUCACAUCAUUUGUGAAGACUUAGUAGAGGCUAAAUGAGUACAAGCAGCAUUUACCUUAUUAAACAGAUAUUUUCAACAUUUAAAACAGUCUGACCAUCAAUGAUGAUGUUCAAAAACAUCUCAAGAUGUUUUAGAGCUAAAGCAAAUGAGAAAAUAUAGUAAAGGGCUGAUUCCUGUGGAUAUUCUGCAAAGGAAAGUAACAUGGUGGAGUGGAAGUGGGAUAAGGUUUGAAGCCAAAAGACCUGGUGGGCUUAAGGUCUCCAUUUAUUGGUUGUGUGACCUUGGAUAAGCCACUUCACCUCCUGGUGAGACUUGGGCAAAAUGGAGAUCAUAUUAAUCACCUCACAGUUUGUUACGCAUUGAGUAAAUGCACAUGUAAGCAUUAUUGACUGUAAAUGAUUAUGCAUAUUUUAAUUAUGGUAUAUCCAAGCCUGAUUUUUCAUCCAGUGCUUACAGUGCCCUGGGCAUAAUACUCAUUCAAUAAACAUUUGUUUGAUGAUAGAGUAAUAAAUGAAUAUGUGAUGCAGAAGUUUUAAAAAUAUUUUUGCUGCUGUCUGACUCAUUUAUAGACAUUUAUAAAAUUGAGGAUUUGUAAGUUGUCCCUGGACAAUCAGAUCUCUUGAUUCAAAGGUGAAAGAUAAUCAUUCAGGUUUUCAAGUUUUUCCUGAUAUGAGACAUUAACUGGCAGGGCUGAUUAUGAGAAAUUGUCAUUAUCCUGCUCAAAUAUAAGAUCAUAGAUUUGGGAAACCUUAGAAAUAAUUACCUUCUUUUCAAAUAUGAGGAAACUGAAGCCCAGAGGCUCUAAGAAAUCAGGGACUUUAUAUAAUUUUUUCAUUUCUCUAGCUCUAGGGUAAUUGUAGAUAGAUAUACAACAAGUAUGUUUUUAAAAGUAUAUUUUUCAAGAAUUAUGCUAAGCACUGGGGAAAUAAACAUUAACAAGACAAAACCCUCCCCUUUGAGGAACUGAUAAUCUAGACAGACAUGAAAACCAGGAAGUGUGCUAUCAGUUAUAUUAAUGUUGUACAGAGUUCUAGUGGCAAGAGGGAACUGCCAAGGGAAAUCUGAGAGGAGGUGUUUACCCUGCGUAAACACCUUGCUGUUUAGCUUGGCAUCCCUAGAAGCAGACCCUGAGGACAGUGGGAAAAUGGAUUAUUAAGGAAGUGCUCCUGAGAGAAACCAGAAAGGGGGUGUAGGGAGCAAGGGAGGAUAAGGAGAAGACUCCAGUAAGGAUGAGAUUACUCAAGUCCCAUGGAAGACAGGUUAGCCUGAUCCUGCAGGGGAGCCCUGGAGGCACAUGCCUGAAAGGCAGUCUUGGAGCAGCUGCCUCAUGUUGGAGGAAAAACACUGAAGUGGGAUGAGAAGAUGUGAGUUCCGGUCCCAGAUCUGAUUUGUUUGGCACAUAAGUUUGGGGGGACCUCACAAGAUUCUUGCAACAGGGCAGUGAUUCUUUAGCAAUGUCUUUGUAUGCCUGGACUCAGAGCCACCCAGAGGAGCCACAGGAGGGUCCCUCACCCUCUGCGCCCACGAGACUCUGCUACCAGUGCCCUCUUCCACCCAAAGCACUAAGUCAAUGAAGACAGUCUCUGUUCUCAGGCACAUAUCUGCCCUCCAUGAGGCUGAAUAGAGCCCAUUCUCCCUCUUCCAUACCUUUCAUCUCAAAGGAUUCCUGAGCACACAAUCCACUUUAUAGCCUGGUCCUCUACCAUUAGAUAAUAAAGGGUCUUUCACUGAUCUGUGCUGUUGAAAUGCCACCACCUCCACUAUGCAGCUGCUCUGGGCUGUACAGAAAGCAUCUCUCAAUCCUAGGUCAUUUAGAAUGUCAUAGCCUGAGGAGAAUUCAGAAGGACAUCGAGGUCUACAAGUUAUAGAAAAAGUGUGGACUUUUGCAAAAUGCACACACAAACCAAAACCAACUUUCCAACCAAUCCUCAGAAAACCAGACUGAAUCCAUUAAAAUGAUGUUGGUUUGUUUCGCAACGAAGAACCAGCUUUGACCCUGUCCAUUUUUUGUCCUACUCAAAGUGGUCUCUUUACCAUAAACAAAUAGGCCUCUUAAAGUGACAGUUGUAUAAAUAAAACUUGAGAGUGGUAGGAUAAACUUUACGUGGUCCUGUUGCCAAAUAACUAUGGAUAUUAGUAUGUUUUGCCUAAUUCAGAUCAAUGAAGGCCUCGCUAUGUGCGAGCUGGCUAGCAGCUGGGAGGCAAACAUGAGUUGUAGUUUCUGACCUCAGUGUCUGGUGGCACUACUGGGUGUGGAGACGCUGUACAAACACAUUUGUAUGUUCACAUUUCCUAUGUAAAAGAAAAGGGCUUGGGGUAGUGUCAGACCCCUGACUCUUCUUCUUCAUAACAGACAGGGCUCUCUACAGAGCACCCUUCUAGAGCAGCUUUAGCAACCAAGGGACAGACACCUCAGUCUGUUUUAAGUUUUCUCCUUCCUAUUGAAAGGAAGUCCAGAACAAAUUCAGGGAGGUUUUCAAUAAUUACUCAUCAACAAUCUCAUAGUCACAAUACUAAAAAAGACUGCUGACAUUUUGGUUUAUUUUCUAGUACUAGCUACAUCUGCACAUAACUUUUAUUAAGUUUUCUUUAAAAGGAUGAUUCAAAUUUUUGGUCGGUGUGGUUUAAAUUUUAUUUUUUUUAACUGCUCAAAUACAUGACCCAUAACAGAGGAAAUUUGAAGAGUGACUGUUCCACUGAUCUACCUAGGUGGGUCUAAUAUAAUUCUUAGAAUUCCUCACCACUUCACCUUUUUCAAGUUCGCUGUUUUUUUGUGGGUUUUAGCCCUCUUUAAGUCAAUAUGACUGUUUUACAGAAUCCUUUAGGAUCAUAAUGGGGAAAAGAGGAGAAAAAUUGUGGUGGCUUAAAAUGUAUUCACAUUUGUAGUUUCAGAUAACUAUAUAAAAGUCAAUCAUCAAUAAUUUGUUAAACACCAAUUUGUGCCGGAGUCGCUCUGGAAACUUGCCAGAAACAUGGGGACUUAACAUCUCUGGAAAGCCAGAAAUCAGAGAUACAGAGAAGUAUUGAAAUGCUGAAAUGCUAUGAAUUUACUAUAAGAGAACAUUCUUCACUGAAGAGAUCUCUAGCUGCCAAAACACCCUUUCAUGCGUGAAAUACCGGGGCAAAGAGGAAGGAAAAGAGAAGAGUAUGACUCUAGGAACCAUGUUGCAGAAAUGCCAAAGGGUGGGACAAACAAAGUUACUAAUGUGGAGAAAGAAGAUUAUCAUGUGUGGAACGAAGGACAAUAUGAACAUUAAAUAAUGCCCUGACUCAUUCCAAAAAGAAUCUGAGAUGACCAAUAAAGCCAUUUUUAAUUGUUUAUUAGUGAACAAUAGAUUAUGAGUGCUAAAGGGAUUCAGGAAGAAGAAAGAUCAGUGCAGAGUAGAGAAGUCUGAUGGAUGCAUUGAAGAAGCUAUGCUUGAGCUGAAAUGACAAGAGAGCUGUUUUUCGCUUUCAGAAUUAUUAUGUGGCAAUGGUAAUUGACAACAGAGAAGCUGAAGGUAUGAGGACAAGGGUGUCUUAUCUUUCCCCAGAAGUCUUGCUUGGCCCAUGGGAGAAUACAGGCCUGCACCUUGGACUUGGAGUCAGUAGAUUCCUUCCUGUGAUUUUUUACAAGCUCAAACAUCCCCUGACUGAGUCAUUCACCAGAGAAAGAGGCUUUUCAAAUGAUUUGUGCAUUAGCUAUAGUCUGCCUUAUUCAACCCCAUUUUAGUGUCACAAAAGCUUCUUCUUCCUACAUUGUUAGAGCCUUUUUGACUUUUCUGAAACGACAUCUGCUCACCUCUUGGGUAACACCCUGCAGGGCUCAGUCGAGCUCAGUCACCCUUCACUUUUUUUUUUUUUUUUUUGAGCCAGUUUUGUAAGGUGCUGAGGGAGGUUUGUAUUAGUCCUUGUUGCCCCUAGAAGAAAUAACAGCUAUAAUUUUGGCCCCGAAGAAAAGGAACAGGUAUGACUAUUCUCUCUCUUUCUCUCAAACCACAAUCUACUCUAGGGAGGAAGUCACUUUAUGGGAGCAGAGUCACUCUCAAGUAAUAGCUGGCCAUACAGAUUGCUCUGGACCAAGGGUGAAUGUGAAGAAGAAAAGACCGGCCAGCAACACAAUGGAAUAUCUAGAGUCAUAUUGAGGGAAAUACUUAGAUUGCUGAUUUCUUAGUGGAUUUCACAAGCAGAGCUGCUUGUGAGCAGAAUGGUGAAGUAGGGGCAUGUGUUUCUGGGGUCUUAUUCCAUGGCUUCCUUCCACCUACAAGAGUCAUCCUCACGGAGUACUUGCAUUUCAGUAGAAGAAAAAAAUCUUAUAGAUGGAAGGGAAGGAUGGGGUUCCUGCUUUAGGAAGAUUGGCAUGGUCAUAAGUCUGAGCAAGGAAGGGCCCAGGGCAGCUCAGAGCUCUGAGCAGGAAGCUCUAAUUAGUUACUGAAUAUGGUGCAAGCACAAAGAGAGCGUAGUGUUUUCCCUUUCCAUCUGUGGAAGUCUUGGCCAUGCUUACUUGGGCGUUCCUUCCAGGAAACAUUUAUUUUUCCUCUUUAAUGCCCUCCUCAUAUCUAUGCUCUCAGUAGAGGAUGCCACUGCUUCUGGCACCUGGAUAAUAGAAUGAAGCUGAUUGGGAUGGAAACAGAAAAGUCAUCUCUCAGAACAAUGAGCAGAGACUGAAACUCCCUUGUACCCAGUCCCUGUGCACUGCUGUUCAUAGCCAAAUGGGCAAGGCCUUGCCAAAUGUCAUGUUGAGGUGAGGCCCUAAGUGAUAGAAAAAUAAAAAAUGACUAUGGCCACUUGCAUGUUCAGAGAAUUCAGUUUAGAAAAUGCUAUGCUGGGAGGAUCUCUCUUAAUAUCUUGUUUGCAUCAGAAUGUUCAAGUUGCAAUAUAUGUUUUUGUUUUGUGUAUUUAUUUAUUUUCCUCUACUCUAUUCUGUUAAGUCUUUUAGGGCAAAGGUAGGGUAGUCUAUACUCCCUGCGUUAUCCAUAAUGCCUAGCACUGUGUCUUGUACAUAAAAGGUCAUAAUAAAUACCUGUUGGCUAGAUAGAUGAAUGGAUAGAGUGCCUCAUUUAGAAGCAUUAUACUUCUAUGGAAAAAAAUUUUUAAAUGUAUUUUUUUCUAUGAGAUAACACAGUUCCUGAAUAGGUCAUGGGCAGGUGCUAUUCAAGUUUGCGAAGGAAAGGUUUUCCUAGAGUUAGGGUAAUUUUUUCCUCAAAUAAGAAAAACCUACAGUAAAUAAUUACUCUCCAUAUUAUCUUUAGGUUUCUUGCCAGUAUUAACAUCUUUUUUAUUGUAAGUGAUGAUAUUGUCUGUGAGAACAUUACAGUAGGUUAGUAUCCUGGGUUAAGCUAAGUGUUGUUGAAAAUAAUCCUGGACAUCCAAACAGGAAGAGAGGAAGUCAAACUAUUCCUGUUUGCAAAUAACAUGAUUCUAUAUCUAGAAAACCCUGUAAUGUCAGCCCCAAGGCUCUGUGAGAUCAGAGAUAAAUAACCUCAGCAAAGUCAACAUACAAACAUCAGUAGCAUUCCUUAUACAAACAACAUCCAAGCUGAUGGCCAAAUCAGGAUGCAAUCCCAUUCACAAUUGCCCCCCCAAAAAUAUAAAAUACUUAGGAAUACAGCUAACCAGGGAUGUGAAAGAUCUCUAUAAUAAGAAUUACAAAACACUGCUCAAAAAAUCAUAGAUGACACCAAAAAUUGGAAAAAUAAUCCAUGCUCAUGGAUUGGAUGAAUCAAUAUCAUUAAAAUGGCCAUACUGCCCAAAGCAAUUUACAGAUUUCACAGAUUCAGUGCUAUUCCUAUCAAAAUAUCAAUGACAUUUUUCGUGGAAUUAGAAAAAACUAUUUUAAAAUUGACAUGGAACCCAAAAGGGACCCCGAAUAGUCGAGGCAAUCCUAAACAAAAAGAACAAAGCUGGAGGUAUUAUAUUACCCAAUGUCAACAUAUACUACAGGGCUAUAGUAACCAAAAGAGCAUGGUACUGGUACAAAAACAGACACAUAGACCAAUAGAACGUAAUAAAGAGCCCAGAAAUAAUGUCACACCACUUACAACCAUCUGAUCUUCAAUAAAGCUGACAAAAACAAACAAUAGGGAAAAGAUUCCUCAUUCAAUAAAUGGUGCUGGGAUAACUGGCUAGUCAUAUGCAGAAGAUUGAAACUGGACACCCCACCUUACACUACAUACAAAAAUCAGUGUAAGAUGAAUUAAAGGCUUAAAUGUAAAACCUAAAACUAUAAAAACCCUGAAAGAUAACCUAGGAAAUACCAUUCUGGACAUAGAACUUGGCAAAGAUUUCAUGAUGAAGACAACAAAAGCAAUUGCAACAAAAACAAAAAUUGACAAAUGGGAUCUAAUUAAACUGAAGAGCUUCUGAACAAAAAAAGAAACUAUCAACAGAGUAAACAGACAACCUACAGAAUGGGAGAAGAUAUCUGCAAACUAUGCAUCCAACAAAGGUCUAAUAUCCAGAUGCUGUAAGGAACUUAAAUUUAUAAGCAUAAACAAACAACCCCAUUAAAAAGUGGGCAAAGGACAUGAAGAGAUACUUUUCAAAAGAAGACAUAUAUGUGGCCAACAAGCAUAUAAAAAAUGCUCAACAUCACUAAUCAUUAGAGAAAUGCAAAUUAAAACCACAGUGAAAUACCAUCCCACACCAGUCAGAAUGGCUAUUAUUAAAAGUUGAAAAAUAAUAGGUGCUAGCAAUGUUGUGGAGAAAAGGGAACACUUAUACACCACUGAUGGGAAUGUAAAUUAGUUCAGCCACUGUAGAAAGCAGUUGGGUGAUUCCUCAAAGAACUUAAAAAAACAGAGUUACCAUCCAACCUAGCAACCCCAUUAUUGGGUAUAAUCCAAAGGAAUAUAAAUUGUUCUAUCAUAAAGACACAUGCACAUGUAUAUUCAUUGCAGCACUAUUCGCAAUAAGAAAGAUAUGGCAUCACCCUAAAUGCCCAUCAGUGGUAGACUGGAUAAAGAAAAUGUGGUGCAUAUACACCAUGGAAUACUAUGCAGCCAUAAAAAACAAUGAGAUCAUGUCCUGUGAAGCAACAUGGAUGGAUCUGGAAGCCAUUAUCCUAAGCAAACUAACACAAGAACAGAAAACCAAAUAUGGCAUGUUCUUACAAGUGGAAGCUAAACAAUAGGAACACAUGGAUAUUAGAAGGGUAACAGAAGAUAUUGGGGCCUACUUGAGGGUGGAAAGUGGGAGGAAGGAGAGGAUCGGAAAAAUACCUAUUGGGUACUAUGUUUAUUACCUGGAUGAUAAAAUUAUCUGUCACCAAACCCCUGUGACAUGCAGUUUACCUAUAUAACAAACCUGCACAUGUACCCCUGAGCCUAAAAUAAAAGUUUAAAAAAAAAAAAGAAAAUACACCUGGACCCUAUUUUGAAAGACAUACUGUAGACUUGAGGGAGGAAGAGCAGAGGGAUGGAAAGGGCCCCGAAUUACCCACAAGCCAUGUGAAUGCUUAAGCAGUCAUGGACCACAAUUCUCACCACACACACACACACACACACACACACACACACACACACACACACACAGGUCUGAACCCUUACCCCUGUCUACUACUUAUUGGAGCUUGGUAGAAAAAAAGUUGUGAGUGACAGAAAAGUGAGAAAAAGAGAAGAAGAAGAAAAAUUGGAAAGUGUGGAAGAAAAAGUGGCAAAUGCAAGCAGCCCUUAAUGGAACUGUGCUGAAUUGAGAGACAGCAGAAGGUAACAGCUGGCUGGGACUUGGCCAUGAAAGGUGGAAUGUGAGGAGACAAAUGAAAUGGAAAUGCAGGAAAGAAUGGAGUGGCAAAGGAGGCUGGAGAUGGGGCAGAGGAUAGCAAGGGGAGAGAAGGAAGCACAGAAAGGGUGUGGGGGACAGGCCAGAGAGUAGAAGGCUAGAUGGAACUGACUGAUGCCACCAGUCAGAGAUGGAGACCAUUAACAAUGUGUAGGGAAACCCCUGCCUUCCCAAUAAUGAAAAUGCAGGUUUAAUCAGUACCAAGGAACACUGUGAAGUAAGGGCAUUGACUUGGGAAGUGAAAGCCGAAGAUAGAGCAAACCCCAUACGGCAUAUCCUAACUCGCCAUUUUAACAGCAGAAAGACUCGAAAAUACAAAGCAAAGGAUUAUCCAAAGGGCUUUUUAAAAUAAUGCUUAAAAUUUUAAUCUUGUAAAUAUAUUUCCCUUCCCAGUAUGAAAAUAAUUCCGAGUAUAAUCUUUAUUUACUUUCCCCUUUUUAUUUUAGAAGAGUAAACAUAGCUUUAAGAAUUAAAAAAAUCAGUUAAUAAUCUGACUUUUAAGUCAGCUGUAAAAAUGUAAGUUUCUAGCUCUGCCACUUUUUAGUAGUGUGACUUUGGGCAAAUUGCUCAAAAACUCCAAAUUCUUGUUUCUUUACCUACAAAAAAGGGACAAUAAUACAUACCUCCUAUGAUAGUAGAAAAUUACGUGAAAAUAUACUCCAAGUAUCUCAGAGGGCUUGAUUUCCAGAAAGCGCCCAAGCUCAAUCAAUAGUGACGUUUACUAUCCACGCAGCCAGUUCUACUACUGGGAGUUGGUUGGUGCUGAUAAAGCUUUUUGUCAGACUUCUCACAAUUUCCAUUGUGAGAAGAUGUAGCUUCCAAUUAACUCUGUCACUGAUUGUUGGGUAACUUUGGGCCAAAUGCUGUUCCUUAAUGAAUGUGGGUGUGAAACUUAUUAAGAUUAAUGACUGUCACAGCUGUUAGCCAGAUGUUUACAUAAUUCCCUCUGUUUUACAGCAAUCAUAUCAGAGGAAAGGGGUUGAAUGAUAGAAUUAGAAAAAUAAGUACAAUAUUGUGGGAAUGAAUAAAUGUUGUUUUGGAGGGUAGGAGAUUAAAAUCCUAAAUGUAUUUUGAUUAGGCUAAUAUUAAAAAUUAGCAUCUGUAAAUCAGUAAUCUAAUUGAAGGAAUUUUUUAACACAAGUGACUGGUGGAGGGGACACAGCAUGGGAGGGCAUGCUUACAGCAAGAGCUCCAUUGAUUAAAUAGUCCCCUGCAGAACACAGAGAGUUAAAUACGUCUUUAAUAGCCUCCAGCAUGAAAGGGCAAAUCAUUUGUUUUAAUUGAGGAAGGAUAAAAUAUUUUUGCUUUACACAUAUAUGUUCUAUUUUAGCAUCAUAGUUAUUUUUAUAGCUGUUAUAACUUCACAAAACCUAAUAGGAAAAUAAAUCUGAAUCCAGAAGAGUUCAAUACUUUCCAGAGGAGUCUAGUAAAUAAAAACUCUACACUGACUGACUGAUCUUAUUCAUGCACUGCUCCUAAACCCAAACUCUCAAGUGAAGGGAAAAGAGGUUAAUUCGUUGGAAUAAAUUCAUGGGAUUUUUUUUUAAAGACACAUCCUGAAUCAAAGUGAUUAAAACAACAAAUGGAUAAAGGGUAGAGCUGUGAGAGGACAAGGUUUGCAUUACUGAGCAUCUUGAUUAUGUGGGGAAGAUGGGAAACAGAUCUUGCCCAUUCUGGUCUCAAACUACUAAAUCCUGAGAAUGCCAAGAGGCGAGUCACUGAAGUCAGAAGUUGGAAACAUGGCUAAGCUGUCCAGAGUGUGGAACACAUGGUCUCUGAAGGUUUUUAUUAGUGUGUGGGUGAGAGUUCAGAAGCUCUACUAAUUACUUUUGUUUUCAGAAUUUAUAAAGUUAAGACAGAAAGCGGAAUAUUAACACUUCACUUCCUCGUGCAGUCAUUAAUUUACUCACUUAGCAUACAUUUAUUCAUAGAAGCUUAUUGGUACCAAGUAUACCCUCAAUGAGCAACCAACCCAAAAUUGCAAAAGGGAGAUCAAACAGGGAAGCUGUGGUAGGAAGUAUCAUGGCCUCUUCAAAGAUGUCUAUAUACUAAUCACAGAAUUUAUGUAUAUGUGAUGCUGUAUGUCAAGGGAAGAUUAAGGUGUGCAGAUGGAAUUAAGGUUGCUAAUCAGCUGACCUUAAAAUAGGAGUACUAUCUUGGAAUAUCUGGGUGGGCUCAAUGUAAUCACAAAUGUUCUUAACAGAUAGAAGAAGAAGGCAGAGGAGUCAGUGUUGGAGUGAUGCCAUGUGAGAAAGACUCAACUGGCCAUUGCUGGCUUUGAAAAUGGAAGGAGGCAUAAGCCAAGGAAUGAAUGCAGGUGCCUCUAGAACCUGGAAAAAGCAAGGAAACAAAUUCUCCUCUAGAACCUCCAGAAGGAAUGCAUUCCUGCCAACACCUUGAUUUUUAGCUCGGUGAGACCCAUGCUGGACUUCUGACCUGCAGGAUUGCAAGAUAAGAUAUUUGACUUAUUUUAAGAUGCUAAGUUUGCAGUAAUUUGAUAUGGUAGCCAUCGGAAACUAAUACCGAUGCCAAAGCAGUAAAGCAGGAAAGCACUCCAAAAUCACAGGAGUGAGAGGAGCAGAAAUGUCCUAGGAGAAGACAAUGUUUCCUUUUGAAAAGGAAAGUUUACUGGCAACUUCCAUUUGAAUUUCUUAAUUUCUUUCCUCAGUGGCAGUCACUACUUCCAAGGUGGCAGGUUCCAGAGCUGAUUCAUUAUAUAAUCUUUUCUCAGGAGUAUUCUAGCCACCUUUAAAGAAGCUAGGGCCAUUUUCCUGACACUGCAUCAAGGGGUAAGGUUAGUGGUAAAGAAACCAUGCGGUAGGAAAGGCCAACUUUCUCCCUACAUAAUCCAAUCGCAUUAUCUCCAGACUUGCUCACCCUCUGCUCUUUGCAUACUGCAGCUCCAGAGCUUUCAUACCUACAGACUUCCUGGAGUUAAGACUAAAACAAGAGUUGUGCUACAGACUACCGUUCCUAUUAUCAUUUUUUGUGUCCUGCUGAGUCCUCCCCUCUUGGCAACUUCAGGACCACCCACUGGGAAGAUAAUAUACAACCCAUCAGGAAACUCCCAGUGCCCAUCGUGGAGGCCAAGUGCUGCCAACUCUGAUUGCUUCUGGAAUGCCAUUUCUUCCCUGCCCUUUCAAUAUUCUUGUUAUGCGACUCCUAUGAUCACUGCCAAUCUGUAGAAAAUUACAGGAUGAAUUUUUGUGAAGGACUGAAUUUGCAUACUGGUCUUUUGUUGUUUAUUGUUGGGGGGAUUUUGCUUUUUGCACACAAUUUCUGCACAUUUUAUUGGAAGUUAUUGGGUUAGAUUCAUCCCAUUCAUUCACUAGCCUGGCAUUGCUAUGCAUGUGCUGUAGGGGCUUAGCAUUAAACGAUUUUCUUUGUUCAGAUUUGGAUUGCUGUCUCUGCUUGCAAAUUAUUUUUCACAAUGACUCCUUCUUUUCCUUCUCUCUCUCUCUCUUUCUCUCUCUCUCUCUCUCACACACACACACAGACACACACACACACACACACACACACACACACACACACACACAGAUGAGGUUAGAUAUUUUUCCAUUGCCAAGUUCAGGACCCAUGAAUAC